AGUGAUAAGACCCGUAGUCAAGAGGGAAACAGCCCAGACCAACAGCUAAGGUCCCGAAUGCCGUACUAAGUGGCAAAGGAGGUGGCGUUUCGAAAACAACCAGGAUGUUGGCUCAGAAGCAGCCAUCAUUAAAAGAGUGCGUAAUAGCUCACUGGUCGAGAGACGCGGCGCCGAAGAUGACCGGGGCUGAAGUACGGAACCGAAGCUUUGGCAUGUAUGGAGACAUACAUGGGUAGGGGAGCGUUCCUGCGUGGGAGAAGCCUGACCGGAAGGACAGGUGGACAGGCAGGAAGCGAGAAUGCCGGUAUGAGUAGCGAAAAGAAAGGUGGGAAUCCUUUCCACCGAAAGCCUAAGGGUUCCUGGGCAACGAUCGUCGACCCAGGGUAAGUCGGGGCCUAAUCCGAGGCGCAGACGCAUAGGAGAUGGACAACAGGUUGAAAUUCCUGUACCGACACCGUCCGAUAGAGCGAGGGAGUGACACAAGAAGGAACGUUCGCAUGCGAAUGGAAGAGCAUGUCCAAGCCGGUAGGUGGCGUAUCAGGCAAAUCCGGUACGCCGAAAGCCGAGAGGUGAUGGGGAGGCUGUAGGGAUACAGAGGAAGGAACGGGGACUCAAUUGUCAAGAAAAGCUUCUAGCGAGGACGGUGGCGCCCGUACCGAAACCGACACAGGUAGGCAGGACGAGAAUUCUAAGGUGCGCGGGAAACCCCUCGUUAAGGAACUCGGCAAAAUGUAUCCGUAACUUCGGGAAAAGGAUAACCCAGAGUACGUGAAGGAAAGAAACAUCCGGAGCGGGAAUGGGUGGCACAAGAGAGGCCCAAGCGACUGUUUACCACAAACACAGGCGUCUGCUAAAGAGAAAUCUGAUGUAUAGAUGCUGACACCUGCCCGGUGCUGGAAGGUUAAGAGGACGUGUUAGCCGCAAGGCGAAGCAGAGAAUUGAAGCCCCAGUAAACGGCGGCCGUAACUAUAACGGUCCUAAGGUAGCGAAAUUCCUUGUCGGGUAAGUUCCGACCCGCACGAAAGGUGUAACGAUUUGGGCACUGUCUCAACGAGGGACCCGGUGAAAUUGAAGUACCUGUGAAGAUGCAGGUUACCCGCGACUGGACAGAAAGACCCCAUGGAGCUUUACUGUAACCUGAGAUUGAAUUUUGGUAGAAGAUGUACAGGAUAGUUGGGAGACGUAGAAGCGCGCACGCCAGUGUACGCAGAGUCGAUGGUGGGAUACCAACCUUGUUUUAUUGAAAUUCUAACGAGAGCCGUAACGAGGCUGCGGACAGUCUCAGGCGGGCAGUUUGACUGGGGCGGUCGCCUCCGAAAGAGCAACGGAGGCGCCCAAAGGUUCCCUCAGCGCGGACGGAAACCGCGCGAAGAGUGUAAAGGCAGAAGGGAGCUUGACUGCGAGACGGACAGGUCGAGCAGGGACGAAAGUCGGGCUUAGUGAUCCGGUGGUAGAGAGUGGAAUUGCCAUCGCUCAACGGAUAAAAGCUACCCUGGGGAUAACAGGCUAAUCUCUCCCAAGAGUCCAUAUCGACGGGGAGGUUUGGCACCUCGAUGUCGGCUCAUCACAUCCUGGGGCUGUAGUAGGUCCCAAGGGUUGGGCUGUUCGCCCAUUAAAGUGGUACGCGAGCUGGGUUCAGAACGUCGUGAGACAGUUCGGUCCCUAUCCAUCGCGGGCGCAAGAAACUUGAAAGGGGCUGCUCCUAGUACGAGAGGACCGGAGUGGACGAACCAAUGGUGUAUCGGUUAUGCCGCCAGGCGUACAGCCGAGUAGCUACGUUCGGGACGGAUAAACGCUGAAAGCAUCUAAGCGUGAAACCAGCCUAAAGAUGAGGUUUCUCAUUGCGUAAGCAAGUAAGGCCCCAUGAAGACGACAUGGUUGAUAGGCCGGGAGUGGAAGUGCAGCAAUGCAUGGAGCGGACCGGUACUAAUAGGCCGAGGACUUAUCUUA
This 1950-nucleotide ribosomal RNA is filed under the name human oral metagenome. Its description in RNAcentral is "bacterial LSU rRNA". It matches the Rfam family "Bacterial large subunit ribosomal RNA", at positions 994 to 2925 of the family's 2925-position model. The record is from RNAcentral.